CCUGGGGUUACCUGGUGCCGCAUCGGAUCCUGCUGCAUUCCCAUCAUCCGCUGCUGAAAAGGAUCCAUAUUUGGGAGCUGAGGAAAUACUGGCUGCUGCAUGCCUUCUCCUGGAAAACCACUAAAACCAGAAAUGUUUUGAACAAUGCAGCUUCCAGGAACAAGCUGGAAAUUGGCCCUUCCAUCUUCAGCCCAGCAUUCAAACAAAAAUGUCUCAGUAGUUGUGCUGCUUCAGCUGGAAGAUGCAAGCAGGUGGAAGGCAGAACACACGUUGCAUUGCUGUCCUUUCUGCAGACUUAGUCAUUCACUUGCACACAUAUAAGCUGUCCUUGUUCUUCCUUAAGGGACGGAGAAGGAUCUGCUGCUAAGCUGUCUCUCAGAGGAUCAAUGCAAGUUUUAAAAGCUUGACCAGCAGCUGUGAAGCACAGCAAGUAUUAGGUGCUGCUGAAGGAAUCUCUACCAGAAUGUCACAGCUUCCAAUAUACCUGGAAACAAGUUCAGGGCAGAGGCAAGAGACUCGAGCCAGAUGCUGUGUCCUUCUCCUUUUCUGUGGACAUAGAGACUCACUGGGGAUCCUGAGCUCCAGUAACUGCUGAAGAACUACUGGGAAGGAUAUCCUGCUAACCUCUAUUUAUAGCUCCUCAGGAUGGAGGGGAAGGUUGCCACAGCACGGGCAAAAUGAAGCCUUGCCAUCGGCAGAAAACAGCCACACGGGAUCUAAACUUCAUCUAAACUUCGGCUGUCCAGUGCCCUAAGGAUGGGCAAACAGCAAAGAAGGAAUGCACAGCUCCAGCUUUAAAUAAACAGCCCCAGGACCUCUUAUUUGUUUGUCUCUAGGCACGUUGAGGUCGGGUAUCAAUUGUUUCAGGGGUACACAUUAACUACUGAGACACAGGACUAAGUGAGUGAUAUGCAUUACUCAACACAAAUGACAGAUUACAAAACAGGAAAGUUGACCUUAUUUUACUUUCAGCAGCAAGACUGUGGAAAAAAAAUUAAAAAAAUCUUUAUUUCUAACUAUUAUAACCAGUAAACUAUGCCUCAAGUUUUCCAGAUUAAAGAAAAGGACAGACAUCCCCUAAAUUAAAAACCUCAAGGAUUUAUAUUGCAGAUGUGUGGGUUCAGUGGGAGGUUUUUGUUUGCUUGAGUUUUGGGAGUGUGAUUUUUAAUUUUUUUUCUUUUUAAAGAAAAAUGUUUGUUUGUUUUCUUAAAACCAUAAAAAGUUGUGUCCCAUUAUCCAGUUACCCUUUGUGAUUUAUUUAUCCAGUACCAUUACUGUAACAUAACACAUACACCUAACAGCAUUUCUAACUCGUGAAAGUAAACUCCUCAGAGAAAACACACUCCACUACAGACCUGUCAAAUCCCACCUACUCAGCUGACAGCACCUGCUCAAACUACAGCUGGAUUAGAAAAAAGCAGCCAAUACAAACCCCCUGCUUGCUCCUGCAGAAACGUGAGGACUUGGAAGAGGACAUUUAUUGGCAAAGUUGCAUUCAAAAUACAGGUCCAAAGAACAGGACUGGGAAUGGCACCACAAUUCCAACACAAUGGAAUUAUGCAACCCAGGAGUUCCCACCCCUUGCCAGAGCCAAACUCACUUCUCUCCUUCCCCAGGCCCAAGAGGGGACACCAACCCCACAGUUUAGAGGACAGCAGAUUUACAUCCACGCUUUGAA
Molecule: long non-coding RNA, 1678 nt
Organism: Poecile atricapillus (Black-capped chickadee)
Lineage: Eukaryota; Metazoa; Chordata; Aves; Passeriformes; Paridae
Exons: 4
Source: RefSeq, a predicted model, not a curated record